Molecule: long non-coding RNA, 1121 nt
Organism: Choloepus didactylus (southern two-toed sloth)
Lineage: Eukaryota; Metazoa; Chordata; Mammalia; Pilosa; Megalonychidae
Exons: 3
Source: RefSeq, a predicted model, not a curated record
CCACAUCAAGGUGCACCUGGCCGACGAGGCGCUGCUGCUGCCGCUCACCGUGCGCCCGCGGGACACGCUCAGCGACCUGCGCGCCCAGCUCGUGGGCCAGGGCGUGAGCUCCUGGAAGCGCACCUUCUACUACAACGCGCGCCCGCUGCACGACCACCAGACCGUGCGCGACGUGCGCCUGCAGGACGGCUCCGUGCUGCUGCUCGUCAGCGACCCCAGGUAGUUUGUGUUGGAGGACUUGGAGACGUGGCCAGGGACACCCAGGGCACUGGAAGAAGGAGAGGGAUGCAGGGUGGGCACCUUUUGGGAGGUGCCUCUCUCCCACCCUGGGAGCCCUGACUUUGUUCCAGGUUCUGGGCUCUCUGGUGGACAGUGAAGCACUGGCCUGAUCAGAUGACACCCACUGCCUGAUGGAAUUCCAGCCCCUGACCCUGACCUUGGAUGGUGACUCCCCUGCCCAGCCAGCCAGCCAAGGAGCAGACGCCUUCCACUAGUGCCGUGCCAUCCUGCAGCCAUUGGGCUUCCUUCUUGGGGCCUGGCACGGCCUGUCUGCAGGGGGAUCCACUGUGCCAUCUUGGGAGCCUGCCAUGAGCAGCCAGCGAAGAGGAGCACGUGGGGCCAGCCUGGGGGUCCCUUACUUCGGUGCCUCGUGCAUUCUCUCAGCCACGCCUUAGCCCAAGCUGCGCUUCCUGCCUGGAGCCCCUUUUCCAGUCUAUCUCUGCGCGUCUAAUCCGCCAGCCUCCUCCAGGAAGCCUCCCCUGGUUACCUCCUUCCCAGCCCGGGAGCACUUCACCCUCCGGGGGCCCCCACCAUCCCCCUCUGCUGUGAGCAGCCCUGGCCCAGGGGCGCAGGCCAGUCCCUCACAAAAUCUCAAACGAUGAGGGGGUGGAGACUGGAUCGAUCCCUGGCCUCCAAGGCGACCCUGCACCCCGCUUUCGUCUGUCUCCCCACAGUGCACGUGCACCUACCCCUUUGACCGUGCCCUUCUCGUGGUGAAACCCCGAGGCCUCGCCUCCUGCACGGGGCCUCGCGGGCGGCGUCUGAAGGGCUCAGGCUGAGGGGGGCGGGCUUUUGGGGGACCCCGGGGGCAGCGUAGAAGCCUGAGGCUGGGAGGCAGUGUC